UGGGGAAUAUUGCACAAUGGGGGGAACUCUGAUGCAGCGACGCCGCGUGAGUGAUGAAGGACUUCGUUUCGUAAAACUCUGUUCUAUGGGAAGAAAAGGACUGUACCAUAGGAGAAAGCUCCGGCUAAAUACGUGCCAGCAGCCGCGGUAAUACGUAUGGAGCGAGCGUUGUCCGGAAUUAUUGGGCGUAAAGGGUGGGCAGGCGGCUUUACAAGUUGGAUGUGAAAUAUUGUGGCUCAACCACAAACGUGCAUCCAAAACUGCAAAGCUUGAGUUAAGGAGAGGUAAGUGGAAUUCCUGGUGUAGCGGUGGAAUGCGUAGAUAUCAGGAGGAAUACCGGUGGCGAAGGCGACUUACUGGACUUAAACUGACGCUCAGGCACGAAAGCGUGGGGAGCAAACAGG
Molecule: ribosomal RNA, 404 nt
Filed under: Fusobacteriota bacterium
Lineage: Bacteria; Fusobacteriati; Fusobacteriota
Description: Fusobacteria bacterium partial 16S ribosomal RNA
Rfam family: Bacterial small subunit ribosomal RNA
Source: RNAcentral